UUGCGGGGAGCUUGUGUACCAGGCUGAGAGGAAGCAGAGAGCUUCGACCCAUAUACCUGAUUUGGAUAAUGCCAACGUAGGGACGUGCCAUU
RNAcentral lists this non-coding RNA (92 nucleotides) under uncultured Enterocloster sp. RNAcentral describes it as "TPP riboswitch (THI element)". The stretch from base 3 to 84 matches the Rfam family "TPP riboswitch aptamer (THI element)", at positions 10 to 89 of the family's 105-position model. Rfam says of the family: Vitamin B(1) in its active form thiamin pyrophosphate (TPP) is an essential coenzyme that is synthesised by coupling of pyrimidine and thiazole moieties in bacteria. The previously detected thiamin-regulatory element, thi box was extended, resulting in a new, highly conserved RNA secondary structure, the THI element, which is widely distributed in eubacteria and also occurs in some archaea. Analysis of operon structures identified a large number of new candidate thiamin-regulated genes, mostly transporters, in various prokaryotic organisms. The record is from RNAcentral. Lineage: Bacteria; Bacillati; Bacillota; Clostridia; Lachnospirales; Lachnospiraceae.